Molecule: ribosomal RNA, 525 nt
Filed under: uncultured bacterium
Lineage: Bacteria
Description: bacterial SSU rRNA
Rfam family: Bacterial small subunit ribosomal RNA
Source: RNAcentral
UGGCUCAGGACGACGCUGGCGGCGUGCCUAAUACAUGCAAGUCGAACGGUCUUUCUAUGGAAGCUUGCUUCCACUGAGAAGAUAGUGGCGAACGGGUGAGUAACACGUGGGUAACCUGCCCAUAAGAGGGGGGAUAACAUCCGGAAACGGGUGCUAAUACCGCAUAGUUUUCUUGAUCGCAUGAUUGAGAAAGGAAAGACGGCCUUUGUGCUGUCGCUUAUGGAUGGACCCGCGGCGUAUUAGUUAGUUGGUGAGGUAACGGCUCACCAAGACGAUGAUACGUAGCCGACCUGAGAGGGUGAUCGGCCACAUUGGGACUGAGACACGGCCCAAACUCCUACGGGAGGCAGCAGUAGGGAAUCUUCCGCAAUGGACGAAAGUCUGACGGAGCAACGCCGCGUGAGUGAAAGAAGGUUUUCGGAUCGUAAAACUCUGUUGUCAGAGAAGAACAAGUUGGAGAGUAACUGCUCCAGCCUUGACGGUAUCUGACCAGAAAGCCACGGCUAACUACGUGCCAGCCGCCGC